GGCCGCUUGGCCCAAUGGUAAGGCGUCUGACUACGAUUAUUCACUUAGCAGUGAUAUCAAGUUAUCAGGAGAUUCUGGGUUCGAGCCCCAGGGUGGUCA
This 99-nucleotide transfer RNA is filed under the name Eutypa lata UCREL1. It matches the Rfam family "tRNA". From Rfam's summary of the family: Transfer RNA (tRNA) molecules are approximately 80 nucleotides in length. Lineage: Eukaryota; Fungi; Ascomycota; Sordariomycetes; Xylariales; Diatrypaceae. The record is from Rfam by way of RNAcentral.